This 840-nucleotide long non-coding RNA is filed under the name Carica papaya (papaya). RNAcentral describes it as "long non-coding RNA (CPAP_LNC015626)". Lineage: Eukaryota; Viridiplantae; Streptophyta; Magnoliopsida; Brassicales; Caricaceae. The record is from RNAcentral.
CCAGGCAAACGCAGAACAUUUUUAAAGCAGUACCAAACACUCCUACGUUAGUAAAACUUACUUAACACCCUAACUAGCAGGACAUCAUCGUUCAAACUUUCAUUUACGUUCUAAGUAAUUUCGACGCCAUUCAACCCAAAGCACAAAACCAUUAGUUAACAAGUAUAAGACAAACAAAGAGAAAACUGAAACUCCAGUUGAAACCCAGAAAGGAAAGAAAAUGUUUAAUUCAACAAAUGAAUGCAUGAAUAAGCUAAAAUCACUAACUUCAGCCAUUACCACUCAAACGUAGCCAUAGACAGACACAAGUAACAAAUUCGAAUUUCAUAAACCCUAAGCACGGAAUAAGAGACAAAAAAUAUAAAAUAAUCAGUGUGGGUAUGAAGAUUACUCACAGUGGUGGCCUGUAAGUGAGGUUGCGCUCUUCUUCUUCUGAUUCCAUAUAGCCAUCGACUUCUUCGAUCUGCAAUUCCUCGAAUUCCAGCUCUCGAAUCUGCUGGAUCUGCUGCCUCUCUCUCUCCAGUAUACUUUCUUCGUCCAUUUCUCCGCCCCUUUUCCCUUUACGAGGGUGUUGUGUCGGGAGGUUUAGCUUUAAAUGAGUUUCUGUUGGGAAUUGAAGUGCGAUUUAUAGUGUACCCGCCAUGGCCGUGAUGUUCGAGGCGGCAAACCCGCGAGGAUUUUUGUUUGUUUCCCCAUUCUCAGUUUUUGUUCGUUUCGGUUAAAAUAUUUUAGAAUAGAAAAAAAAAUUAUUAAAUCAAAAUACUAAACCGAAUCGAUUGAAAAAUCUAAUAAAACCGAAAUUAAACCGGCUGAAGUUCAUAACCAAAAGGCAACCCCAAU